ACCCUGUUCCUCUGUGUUAGAGGUCUCCUCCUCUCACUACCCUGUUCCUCUGUGUUAGAGAGGUCUCCUCCUCUCACUACCCUGUUCCUCUGUGUUAGAGAGGUCUCCUCCUCUCACUGCCCUGUUCCUCUGUGUUAGAGAGGUCUCCUCCUCUCACUACCCUGUUCCUCUGUGUUAGAGGUCUCCUCCUCUCACUACCCUGUUCCUCUGUGUUAGAGAGGUCUCCUCCUCUCACUACCCUGUUCCUCUGUGUUAGAGAGGUCUCCUCCUCUCACUACCCUGUUCCUCUGUGUUAGAGAGGUCUCCUCCUCUCACUACCCUGUUCCUCUGUGUUAGAGGUCUCCUCCUCUCACUACCCUGUUCCUCUGUGUUAGAGAGGUCUCCUCCUCUCACUACCCUGUUCCUCUGUGUUAGAGAGGUCUCCUCCUCUCACUGCCCUGUUCCUCUGUGUUAGAGAGGUCUCCUCCUCUCACUACCCUGUUCCUCUGUGUUAGAGAGGUCUCCUCCUCUCACUGCCCUGUUCCUCUGUGUUAGAGAGGUCUCCUCCUCUCACUGCCCUGUUCCUCUGUGUUAGAGAGGUCUCCUCCUCUCACUACCCUGUUCCUCUGUGUUAGAGAGGUCUCCUCCUCUCACUACCCUGUUCCUCUGUGUUAGAGAGGUCUCCUCCUCUCACUACCCUGUUCCUCUGUGUUAGAGAGGUCUCCUCCUCUCACUACCCUGUUCCUCUGUG
Molecule: long non-coding RNA, 730 nt
Organism: Oncorhynchus keta (chum salmon)
Lineage: Eukaryota; Metazoa; Chordata; Actinopteri; Salmoniformes; Salmonidae
Exons: 3
Source: RefSeq, a predicted model, not a curated record